AUGACCAUAUCACGCCGGAAUACAGGUUCCCGUCCGAUCACCGAAGUUAAGAAACGUCGAGUUUGCUUAGGAUGGGUGACCACUUGGGAAUACCAGAUACUGUAAG
Acanthosepion pharaonis is the source of this 106-nucleotide non-coding RNA. The record is from the annotation of a GenBank genome assembly. NCBI's taxonomy places the organism in Eukaryota, Metazoa, Mollusca, Cephalopoda, Sepiida, Sepiidae.